RNAcentral lists this small RNA (77 nucleotides) under Flavobacterium saliperosum. RNAcentral's name for it is "Flavo-1 RNA". It matches the Rfam family "Flavo-1 RNA". The record is from RNAcentral. Lineage: Bacteria; Pseudomonadati; Bacteroidota; Flavobacteriia; Flavobacteriales; Flavobacteriaceae.
CUUCAGCCCUGAUGGGAGCGGCAUCCUUUUGUGUAGUGCAAGCGGAACAAAAGAUAGAGCGGACAGCAGGAACACGG